Molecule: ribosomal RNA, 110 nt
Filed under: uncultured bacterium
Lineage: Bacteria
Description: partial 16S ribosomal RNA
Rfam family: Bacterial small subunit ribosomal RNA
Source: RNAcentral
CCCGGGUCUUGUACACACCGCCCGUCACACCAUGGGAGCGGGAUGUACAAGAAGUAGGUAGGCUAACCGCAAGGGGGCCGCUUACCACGGUGCGUUUCGUGACUGGGGUG